RNAcentral lists this ribosomal RNA (281 nucleotides) under Paenibacillus macerans. Its description in RNAcentral is "partial 23S ribosomal RNA". It matches the Rfam family "Bacterial large subunit ribosomal RNA", at positions 1304 to 1581 of the family's 2925-position model. The record is from RNAcentral. Lineage: Bacteria; Bacillati; Bacillota; Bacilli; Caryophanales; Paenibacillaceae.
GAGUAACGAAAAGAUCAGUGAGAAUCUGAUCCGCCGAAAGCCUAAGGGUUCCUGAGGAAGGUUCGUCCGCUCAGGGUAAGUCGGGACCUAAGGCGAGGCCGAAAGGCGUAGUCGAAGGACAACAGGCUCUAAUUCCUGUACCACCAUAAUCCGUUAUGAGCGAUGGGGUGACGCAGGAGGGUAGUGACGCGGGGCGAUGGAAUGCCCCGUCCAAGCAGUGAGGCUGGUGUGCAGGCAAAUCCGCACACCGUAAGGCUGGGCUGUGAUGGGGAGGGAAAAUU